UAACACGUAAGCAACCUGCCUAUCAGAGGGGAAUAACAGUGAGAAAUCAUUGCUAAUACCGCAUAAGCUAGUAGUAUCACAUGAUACAGCUAGAAAAGGAGUAAUCCGCUGAUAGAUGGGCUUGCGCCUGAUUAGCUAGUUGGUGGGGUAACGGCCUACCAAGGCGACGAUCAGUAGCCGAACUGAGAGGUUGAACGGCCACAUUGGGACUGAGAUACGGCCCAGACUCCUACGGGAGGCAGCAGUCGGGAAUAUUGCGCAAUGGAGGAAACUCUGACGCAGUGACGCCGCGUAUAGGAAGAAGGUUUUCGGAUUGUAAACUAUUGUCGUGAGGGAAGAAGAUGACAGUACCUCAGGAGGAAGCUCCGGCUAACUAUGUGCCAGCAGCCGCGGUAAUACAUAGGGAGCAAGCGUUAUCCGGAAUUAUUGGGUGUAAAGGGUGCGUAGACGGGAAAUUAAGUUAGUUGUGAAAUCCCUUGGCUUAACUGAGGAACUGCAACUAAAACUGAUUUUCUUGAGUACUGGAGAGGAAAGUGGAAUUCCUAGUGUAGCGGUGAAAUGCGUAGAUAUUAGGAGGAACACCAGUGGCGAAGGCGACUUUCUGGACAGUAACUGACGUUGAGGCACGAAAGUGUGGGGAGCAAACAGGAUUAGAUACCCUGGUAGUCCACACUGUAAACGAUGG
This 685-nucleotide ribosomal RNA is filed under the name uncultured bacterium. RNAcentral describes it as "bacterial SSU rRNA". It matches the Rfam family "Bacterial small subunit ribosomal RNA", at positions 111 to 812 of the family's 1533-position model. The record is from RNAcentral.